Molecule: ribosomal RNA, 1348 nt
Filed under: uncultured prokaryote
Description: partial 16S ribosomal RNA
Rfam family: Bacterial small subunit ribosomal RNA
Source: RNAcentral
GCGCGAACGCUGGCGGCAUGGCUAAAGCAUGCAAGUCGAACGGUUAAGGCCCCUUCGGGGGUGCAUAAAGUGGCGAAAGGGCGAGGAAUACGUUCCUGACGUACCCCGAGGUCGGGGAUAGCCCGGGGAAACCCGGAGUAAUACCCGAUGUGGUUCGCCGCAGGCGAAUCAAAGGUUUCGGCCGCCUUGGGAGCGGGGAACGUCCUAUCAGGUUGUUGGUGAGGUAACGGCUCACCAAGCCGAAGACGGGUAGCGGGUGUGAGAGCACGGCCCGCCGCAUCGGGACUGAGACACUGCCCGGACUCCUACGGGAGGCUGCAGCAACGAAUCUUCCGCAAUGCGCGAAAGCGUGACGGAGCAAUGCCGCGUGCAGGAUGAAGCCCUUCGGGGUGUAAACUGCUGUCAGGGUUUAGCAACACAAUGAGCAGACCCAAAGGAAGGGCCGGCUAACUUCGUGCCAGCAGCCGCGGUAAUACGAAGGGCCCGAGCGUUGCGCGGAAUUAUUGGGCUUAAAGCGUACGUAGGCGGACGAGCAGGCACCUUGUGAAAUCCCUCGGCUCAACCGAGGAAUUGCAUGGUGAACCGCUCGUCUUGAGGCAAGUAGGGGCUGUCGGAACGAUAGGUGGAGCGGUGAAAUGCGUUGAUAUCUAUCGGAACGCCAAAGGUGAAGACAGGCAGCUGGGCUUGUUCUGACGCUGAGGUACGAAAGCGUGGGGAGCGAACGGGAUUAGAUACCCCGGUAGUCCACGCCGUAAACGAUGUGCGCUAGAUCGAGGGGGUUCUCACGCCAUUCUCGGUCGAAGCAAAAGUGUUAAGUGCACCGCCUGGGGAGUACGGUCGCAAGGCUAAAACUCAAAGGAAUUGACGGGGGCUCACACAAGCGGUGGAGCAUGUGGCUUAAUUCGAAACAACGCGAAGAACCUUAUCCUGGGUUUGACAUGCACGGAUUAACCCGUUGAAAGGCGGGCCACACCUUCGGGUGGAACGUGCACAGGUGCUGCAUGGCUGUCGUCAGCUCGUGCUGUGAAGUGUCGGGUUAAGUCCCUUAACGAGCGCAACCCCUAUCGCUAGUUGCCAGCGGGUCAAGCCGGGGACUCUAACGAGACUGCCGGUGUUAAACCGGAGGAAGGUGGGGAUGACGUCAAGUCCGCAUGGCCUUUAUGCCCAGGGCUGCACACGUGCUACAAUGGCCGGUACAGAACGACGCAAUACCGCGAGGUGGAGCAAAUCGCUAAAGCCGGCCCCAGUUCGGAUUGGAGGCUGCAACUCGCCUCCAUGAAGUCGGAAUCGCUAGUAAUCGCGGAUCAGCUACGCCGCGGUGAAUACGUUCCUGAGCCUUGUACACACC